UUCUUUUUUGGACCCCGAAACUUCUUGAUUAACAUUCCCAUCUCUGCUCGACAGAAACCCUUCCUCCAGUAUCGCACUACUGGGGAAUACCUUUGAUUCAAAUUCAUGAUGCUAGACUCCUCGGAGUAACACCUUCCUCUUCGGGCACAACCACCUCUCAAACGAUAACCACGGCUUGAGACUAGCUUUAUGCUAGCAAUAAUGAUGCAUGAUUGAUUUUUCUGCGUAAUGCUCCAUAAUUAUGGAAAUGCUACGCGAUUUACUUUUUUUUU
RNAcentral lists this long non-coding RNA (272 nucleotides) under Lathyrus oleraceus (garden pea). RNAcentral describes it as "Pisum sativum (pea) long non-coding RNA (PSAT_LNC004442)". Lineage: Eukaryota; Viridiplantae; Streptophyta; Magnoliopsida; Fabales; Fabaceae. The record is from RNAcentral.